GUGGGGAAUAUUGGACAAUGGGCGAAAGCCUGAUCCAGCCAUGCCGCGUGUGUGAAGAAGGUCUUCGGAUUGUAGAGCACUUUAAGUUGGGAGGAAGGGUAGUAACCUAAUACGUUGCUACUUUGACGUUACCGACAGAAUAAGCACCGGCUAACUUCGUGCCAGCAGCCGCGGUAAUACGAAGGGUGCAAGCGUUAAUCGGAAUUACUGGGCGUAAAGCGCGCGUAGGUGGUUCAGUAAGUUGGAAGUGAAAUCCCCGGGCUCAACCUGGGAACUGCUUUCAAAACUGCUGAGCUAGAGUACGGUAGAGGGUGGUGGAAUUUCCUGUGUAGCGGUGAAAUGCGUAGAUAUAGGAAGGAACACCAGUGGCGAAGGCGACCACCUGGACUGAUACUGACACUGAGGUGCGAAAGCGUGGGGAGCAAACAGGAUUAGAAACCCGGGUAGUCC
RNAcentral lists this ribosomal RNA (450 nucleotides) under uncultured bacterium. RNAcentral's name for it is "partial 16S ribosomal RNA". It matches the Rfam family "Bacterial small subunit ribosomal RNA", at positions 354 to 796 of the family's 1533-position model. The record is from RNAcentral.